Molecule: long non-coding RNA, 1898 nt
Filed under: Hordeum vulgare
Lineage: Eukaryota; Viridiplantae; Streptophyta; Magnoliopsida; Poales; Poaceae
Description: long non-coding RNA (HVUL_LNC019385)
Source: RNAcentral
GACACGGGGGAAAUAAGAGAAGAGAUAAAGAGGAAAAAAGAGAUGAGGGAGACAAAACUGACAUGUGGGCCCUACAUGUGAGGUAACGGUCAAACAUAAGGUCAAAUAGAUGGAUCAUUUUGGUGCGGGACCGACCUGUCAUAAAUAGGUUUAAUUUUUAAUCAAUGGUCAUUUGAGGUUUUUUAAAUAACCAACCCUUGAGUUGGUAGUUAUCAGCGAAGAAUUAAAAUAUUGUAGUUUUUUAGAGCCUUAACCCGUAAAGUAGUAGCUUUAUUCUAUUUACUCCAGUGCAUGUUAGUAUGUGACUACAUGGAAAAUAUGAUUUAGAUGUGAAACGAGUGAAACUUUGCCUUUGUUUGAUGUGUUCUAUAAAGUUUAGUUCAUCUCCUUGAACACGUGAAAGAUGUAUUUCUUAGUACUUAAUUCGAACAAUGGUUUUACACAUAUGAUCAGAAAUAGGGAUGUGUAUUAUAGAGCAGACUUGAAUCUAGAACUUCCAUUCUUUUUGUUUUCUUUAUUUCGUACGGCCAUCAUGUUGUGGGAUGCUUCUUAUAUGCAUAUCUUAUAACAUGUUAUCCCUGAAAGUAUAGCAUGCUCUUGGUCGGGGUAUAUCAUGUAACCAUCAGCCCAGAUCCACAACAUGGCAUCGUUGGAUUUUUUUUUAAAGAAUAUGAGAAUUAUGAUUUUUAAAGAAAUAUUUUUUAGUACAAAUAAAUAUCCACUGCAGUGAAACAGAUGAUUUGUGAUGUUGAAUGCUCACAUGUUUGAUUUAUGUUUUAACUAAUGAUCUGUAGUUCAUGGUUGUAGUAGAAUGUAUCAACACGAGACAUGAAUCUUGGAUUCUAAUUUUUUCCUCGAUGUUUGUGAUUCUUGGACGUUUUUGUAUACUUCACAGAACACAUAAAUUCAAAUCUUUCGUGCUUACUUUUGUGCUGUAAAAAUGAAAUUUUUUCUGUGCUUGAUGUGUUUUAGAGAGUAUGAUUGAUCACCCCGAACAUUUCACCAUAAAUAUGAGUCGGCAAUACGGAGUACACUUGAAAGCACAACUUUAGCAUUUCUGUUACAACCUACUAUCCCUUGAAAGUAUAUCAUGCUCUUCUUGGUGGUAUAUCAUUGAACCAUCAACCUAGAUUCUGAACACGGCGAAACAAAAUCACGGUUUGCGGUGUUAGAUUUUUGAAGUAGGGAUUUUGUGUACUAAUAAAUAUCAGCUGUGGUGAAACCUAUUAUUUUUAAUGCUUAGAAGUUUGAUUUACGUAAUCCUUGAGAAAGUGCCAUAGCUUAACAAUUGUAUUCAUACUUCUAUUCUCAUGGUCUUUUUUAUUUUGUUAGCUGCAAUUAGUAAGGUUUGACAUGUUGUUUGUGUUGUACGUGCAAGAUGCCAAGACAACACACUCAUCUAUUUUCUAUAUUCUGCAUAUUAAUUGCUUAUCCUAUACUGUAAUGUUAAUGUGGAUUCUCCUUGAAGUUGCAUGCAAAGAUAAUCUAUCCUACAUUGAAAUCCAUAACUUCAAAAAGUCCAGCUUUGCUCUUUGUUGAUUAUCCAUCAUAGUACUAACGUAUAAGAGCCUAUCGUGUAUUUCAGGCUUUUACAUUGCUAACUUCAUAACUCCUGGUAGACAAAGCUUCAUUUUGCAAAAUGCCUCAAUGUCCAAGCCAACGGUCUACUAAAGAAAAGAAGGUUCUUACCAUGUCCCUUAACAUUUGUAUUAGUAUAUAACCUAAACAUUGAUAGCUCACAUUGCAAUAUUUGUAAUAGUGAUGAAUGAACAUAACAACACAAAGAGGUCUUGCCGUAAUAUUGCACCGAGUGCUCCAACAUGAUUGGUAGUACGGGAGUCGUCCAACUCAAGAACCUCGAGUGGAACAUCCUCUGAUGGUGAGGAUGUUCUAAACUA